UUUCUGUGACGAUAACUUUGUCCAGUUCUGCUACUGAAAUAUAAGUGAUGCAGUUUAAGACUCUGAGGAAG
Small nucleolar RNA from Danio rerio (zebrafish), 71 nucleotides. The record is from Ensembl. NCBI's taxonomy places the organism in Eukaryota, Metazoa, Chordata, Actinopteri, Cypriniformes, Danionidae.